AACAGCAUCCGCCUGAGCUCUGAGAGCGACUCGGACUCUCAGGAUCAGCUUCAUGCUGAGGCUGAAACAGCUGCUGCUCAGGAGGAAGCACUGAAACUCCCACGAUCACAGUGUGUAACUCGUCACGGCAAGCACGAAGUGGCUUCUGCUGAACUAGAAAGAAAAAAAAAACUGGGAGGAGACGGUUUCAUCGCAGCUGUGGAUCAACGCAUGAUGAACGAGCUUCGAAGCAACCGGAGCCAACGAGAGGAGAAGAAGAAAGGGACCGCCCUUUGAGCUUAAAGGGGGCUCCUGAUUGGAUAGUCUGUCCUCAAACUCAGUCAGUAAGAGCUCCCCAGCUGUGAGGCGACUGUCAGCGGUACUGGGGGUCGGGUUGGGCGUGUCUGUUACUUUAAGAAACUCAUUAAAAUCUCAAAGUUUGUAUUAUUAGGGGCGUGGCCUCUUUGGUUGACAGAAAA
Molecule: long non-coding RNA, 458 nt
Organism: Oreochromis niloticus (Nile tilapia)
Lineage: Eukaryota; Metazoa; Chordata; Actinopteri; Cichliformes; Cichlidae
Exons: 2
Source: RefSeq, a predicted model, not a curated record